RNAcentral lists this ribosomal RNA (253 nucleotides) under uncultured bacterium. Its description in RNAcentral is "partial 16S ribosomal RNA". It matches the Rfam family "Bacterial small subunit ribosomal RNA", at positions 524 to 776 of the family's 1533-position model. The record is from RNAcentral.
UACGCAGGGGGCUAGCGUUGCUCGGAAUCACUGGGCGUAAAGGGUGCGUAGGCGGGUCUUUAAGUCAGGUGUGAAAUCCUGGAGCUCAACUCCAGAACUGCCUUUGAUACUGAGGAUCUUGAGUCCGGGAGAGGUGAGUGGAACUGCGAGUGUAGAGGUGAAAUUCGUAGAUAUUCGCAAGAACACCAGUGGCGAAGGCGGCUCACUGGCCCGGUACUGACGCUGAGGCACGAAAGCGUGGGGAGCAAACAGG